CAAUAGCGUAUAUUAAAGUUGUUGCAGUUAAAAAGCUCGUAGUUGGAUUUGUGGCGGUCCCUGUGGUCCAAUUUUGGUACUCUCGGGGACUGCCAUCCUUGGGUGGAUCCUGUGUGGCAUUAGGUUGUCGUGCAGGGGAUGCCCAUCGUUUACUGUGAAAAAAUUAGAGUGUUCAAAGCAGGCUUACGCCGUUGAAUAUAUUAGCAUGGAAUAAUGAGAUAGGACCUUGGUACUAUUUUGUUGGUUUGCGCACCGAGGUAAUGAUUAAUAGGGACAGUUGUGGGUAUUCGUAUUCCAUUGUCAGAGGUGAAAUUCUUGGAUUUCUGGAAGACGAACUAAUGCGAAAGCAUUUAUCAAGGAUGUUUUCAUUAA
Molecule: ribosomal RNA, 372 nt
Filed under: uncultured eukaryote
Lineage: Eukaryota
Description: partial 18S ribosomal RNA
Rfam family: Eukaryotic small subunit ribosomal RNA
Source: RNAcentral